GCCCACGGCCACACCGCUGGUUCACGCCCGAUCUCGUUUGAUCUCGGAAGCUAAGAUAGGUUGGGCCUGGUUAGUACUUGGAAAGGAGACCGCCUGGAAAUACCAGGUGCUGUAAGCA
RNAcentral lists this ribosomal RNA (118 nucleotides) under Scophthalmus maximus (turbot). Lineage: Eukaryota; Metazoa; Chordata; Actinopteri; Pleuronectiformes; Scophthalmidae. The record is from RNAcentral.